AGAGUUUGAUCAUGGCUCAGAACGAACGCUGGCGGCAUGCUUAACACAUGCAAGUCGAACGGGAAGCUCAACUUCGGUUGAGUGGAGAGUGGCGCACGGGUGAGUAACGCGUAGAUAAUCUACCCUUAGGCCUGGGAUAACGUUUCGAAAGGGACGCUAAUACCGGAUAAAACCUUUGAUCGAAUGGUCAGAAGUUGAAAGUUCCGGCGCCUGAGGAUGAGUCUGCGUCCCAUUAGCUAGUUGGUGAGGUAGGAGCUCACCAAGGCAACGAUGGGUAGCGGGUCUGAGAGGAUGAUCCGCCACACUGGCACUGAGACACGGGCCAGACUCCUACGGGAGGCAGCAGUGGGGAAUAUUGCGCAAUGGGCGAAAGCCUGACGCAGCAAUGCCGCGUGAGUGAAGAAGGCUUUCGGGUCGUAAAGCUCUUUAUCUCUGUGAAGAUAAUGACGGUAGCAGAGGAAUAAGCACCGGCUAACUACGUGCCAGCAGCCGCGGUAAUACGUAGGGUGCGAGCGUUGUUCGGAAUUACUGGGCGUAAAGGGUGUGUAGGCGGAAUGGUCAGCUAGAGGUGAAAGCCCGGGGCUCAACCCCGGAAUUGCUUUUAGAACUGCCAAUCUAGAGAGGGUCAGAGGUCAGCGGAAUUCCUAGUGUAGAGGUGAAAUUCGUAGAUAUUAGGAGGAACACCGGCGGCGAAAGCGG
This 699-nucleotide ribosomal RNA is filed under the name uncultured bacterium. RNAcentral describes it as "bacterial SSU rRNA". It matches the Rfam family "Bacterial small subunit ribosomal RNA", at positions 8 to 724 of the family's 1533-position model. The record is from RNAcentral.